UUGGAGGGCAAGUCUGGUGCCAGCAGCCGCGGUAAUUCCAGCUCCAAUAGCGUAUAUUAAAGGUGUUGCAGUUAAAAAGCUCGUAGUUGAAUUUCGGGGUUCUACCGUUGGUCGGGCUUUGUCUGUACUGGUGUGUAGAAUUUCUACCUUCUGGGGAACCAUUAUGCUAUUAAUUUAGCGUGGUGGGAAACCAGGACCUUUACCUUGAAAAAAUUAGUGUGUUCAAAGCAGGCUUAUGUCUGAAUACAUUAGCGUGGAAUAAUAGAAUAGGACGGUGGUCCUGUUUUGUUGGUUUCUGAAUCACCGUAAUGAUUAAUAGGGAUAGUUGGGGGCAUUAGUAUUCAAUUGUCAGAGGUGAGAUUCUUGGAUUUAUUGAAGACUAACUUCUGCGAAAGCAUUUGCCAAGGAUGUUUUCAUUAAUCAAGAACGAAAGUUAGGGGAUCGAAGACGAUCAGAUACCGUCGUAGUCUUAACCAUAAACUAUGCCGACUAGGGAUCGGACGAUGUUAAUUUUUCUUGACUCGUUCGGCGCCUUACGGGAAAC
This 544-nucleotide ribosomal RNA is filed under the name uncultured Glomeromycotina. RNAcentral's name for it is "SSU rRNA". It matches the Rfam family "Eukaryotic small subunit ribosomal RNA", at positions 548 to 1098 of the family's 1831-position model. The record is from RNAcentral. Lineage: Eukaryota; Fungi; Glomeromycota.